UUACACACCGCCCGUCACACCAUGGGAGUUGAUUGCACCAGAAGUAGGUAGCCUAACCGCAAGGGGGCGCUUACCACGGUGUGGUCAAUGACUGGGGUG
RNAcentral lists this ribosomal RNA (99 nucleotides) under uncultured bacterium. RNAcentral describes it as "partial 16S ribosomal RNA". It matches the Rfam family "Bacterial small subunit ribosomal RNA", at positions 1383 to 1482 of the family's 1533-position model. The record is from RNAcentral.